Molecule: unclassified non-coding RNA, 1212 nt
Filed under: Hevea brasiliensis (rubber tree)
Lineage: Eukaryota; Viridiplantae; Streptophyta; Magnoliopsida; Malpighiales; Euphorbiaceae
Source: RNAcentral
AAAAGAAAUCGCUCCAAUAAUGGCAGGGUACUGGGAGAAGGCCGAGUUUCCAUAUCAUGUUAUUCCUAAACUUGGUUCCCUGGGUGUUACUGGUGGGACGAUAAAGGGCUAUGGAUGUCCUGGACUCUCCAUUACCGGGAGUGCUUUUGCUAUCGCAGAACUUGCCAGGGUGGAUGCAAGUUGUUCUACUUUUAUUUUGGUGCAUUCUUCUUUGGCAAUGCUUACAAUUGCACUCUGUGGAUCGGAGGAACAAAAGCAAAAAUAUUUACCUUCCUUGGCAAAGUUUGACACUGUUGCAUGUUGGGCUUUGACUGAGCCUGAAAAUGGAAGUGAUGCCAGUGGUUUAAGAACAACAGCAACAAAGGUUGAAGGAGGUUGGCUAAUAGAGGGGAAAAAACGCUGGAUAGGAAACAGCACGUUCGCUGAUUUAUUGGUUAUAUUUGCCAGGAAUACAAUUACAAAUGAAAUAAACGGAUUUAUAAUCAAGAAAAAUGCCCCUGGUCUGAUGGUUACAAAGAUAGAAAAUAAAAUUGGUUUGAGGAUCGUUCAAAAUGGAGACAUUGUAAUGAAUAAAGUUUUUGUGCCUGAUGAAGAUAGGUUACCUGGUGUAAAUUCUUUCAAGGAUACAAACAAGGUUCUAGCGGUUUCGCGUGUAAUGGUUGCCUGGCAACCCAUUGGCAUAGCAAUGGGCGUUUAUGACAUGUGUCACAGAUAUUUGAAGGAGAGGGAACAAUUUGGAGCACCGUUAGCAGCUUUUCAAGUUAACCAACAGAAACUUGUUCUCAUGCUGGGAAAUGUUCAAGCAAUGUUCCUUAUUGGUUGGCGACUUUGCAAAUUAUAUGAAAAGGGCACGAUGACUCCAGGUCAAGCUAGUUUGGGGAAGGCAUGGAUCACUCUGAGAGCUAGGGAAACUGUUGCUCUAGGACGUGAGUUGCUUGGAGGCAAUGGGAUUUUAUCAGACUUUCUAGUUGCAAAGGCAUUUUGUGAUUUGGAACCAAUCUAUACAUACGAAGGUACGUACGACAUCAACACUUUGGUAACUGGCAGAGAAAUAACUGGGCUUGCCAGUUUCAAGCCCGUUGCUCUAUCCAAAAGAAGCCGCCUAUAAAUCUUUUUUGCUGAUGCAUUGCACACACUGGCUGGUGAGCAAACCAAUUAUAUUAUCUAUAAAUAAAAUAUGUGUAUUUAGUUUCGCAUGGAUUCUCUCUGCCG